This 2475-nucleotide unclassified non-coding RNA is filed under the name uncultured fungus. RNAcentral describes it as "sequence contains 18S rRNA gene, ITS1, 5.8S rRNA gene, ITS2, 28S rRNA gene". The stretch from base 1285 to 2475 matches the Rfam family "Eukaryotic large subunit ribosomal RNA", at positions 1 to 961 of the family's 3401-position model. Lineage: Eukaryota; Fungi. The record is from RNAcentral.
GGAAGGAUCAUUACUCUUAAACACACACACACACACACACACAUAAACACACACGCCAAGCAAAAAAUAAAAAAAGCUUUUUGAUCGAUUUGGUGGACCCAUUGCCAUCCUCUAUUUCGCUAGAGACAUAAGGAGAAUCAAUCUGGCCAAUUGUUAUCUAAGUGUUUCACUGAUUAGUGGAGUAGAUGGGUGGGCCCCUAUUUUGACACGCACAUAAAAUGCUAAAGUAGUGCUAAAGUGGAUGGGAUUUUAUGUAAUAUGGUGGGGUCAAGCUAUAUUGACAUCGCAUGAAUACACAUAUUAAUUAAGGGCGGAGGAGUACCUUUUUAUUAAGGUGGCUCUUCUGCCCUUUUUUUUUUAUGAAAAUUUUCUGGGUGACGAGGUGUCAUUGACUUUUGACGUGGCACUUAAAAUUAUCCUGACUAGGAAGGUGACUUCCAAAAAUGGAAAGUGACUUCCAAAAAUGGAAAGUGAUUUCCAAAAAUGGAAAGUGACUUCCAAAAAUGGAAAGUGUAAAUGGGGUCUAAUUCUAGGUAGGGCACAACUACCUGUUUUAACUACCUGUUUAACUUAAGAAAAAAAAAUUAUUACAACUUACUAGUGUGGAUGUCUCAGCUCCUCUAACGAGAACGGACGUAGCGAACUGCGAUAUGCUAUGCGAAUUGCAGGAUUCUGUGAGUCAUUGUAUCUCUGAAUGCACACUGCGCCCUUCCUUAAUGGAUAGGGCAUACUUAUUUGAGCUCCAUUUUAUAAAUAAAUGCAUUUGCCAAGCAUAAUUGUUUUCUUUAGAGAAUCUCUUUGGAGAAAAGAGACCAAUUUAUUGGUUGAUUUAAUCCUUAGUUUUUUUUGAAAGAAUUCUAUUGGGAUAUUAUGAAGGAGGGUUUUAAUUGAUUCUAUUAACUUAGGUUGAUUUUAUUAAAAAAAACCCACUCCUUUAUAUUUCCUUAAAUACUCUUAUACUCUUACUUCCUUUAAUCUCUCUUUUUUAAAGGGUUUUUUUUGGUUGUUAAAGUUAAAGAGUUUCGGGUAUAUGACCCUCAAUAUGACUUUAUGUUAUACUUGAGAUAAGUCAUUACAAUAAAAAAAGAAUAAAAGAUUCUUUCUUUGAGAUUGAAAUAGGGUCUUUCAAUUCUAUAAAAUUGAUAGGGCUUUGUUCAUUUUCUUUCUCUUUCUAAAUAUAGUUAAGGGUAUUGAAUAAUCGAACAAGUCUUUGAUUUUUUGUAGAGCUUAUAUUGUCUGACUUUUAUCUUUCUUAAAAGUGUUUCUUUUUUCUUUUACUAAUAAUGGACUCAAAUUAAGUAUGAUUACCCCUGAAUUUAAGCAUAUAAUUAAGGGGAGGAAAAGAAAUUAACUAAGAUUCCUUUAGUAACUGCGAGUGAAACGGGAAAAGCUCAUGCCGAAUCGGGGGGCUUUAUAGCUCUACUGAGUUGUGGCGUAUCAACUAUUCUUAUUCUGCUUUAACUUGUCCGAAAUUCCUUGGAACAGGAUACCACAGAGGGUGAUAGUCUCGUAGGACUUGUUAUCAAGUAGAAAUAAAAAGGGUAGAUUGUAGAGUCGAGCUAUUUGGGAGUAUAGCUCUAAUUGGGUGGUAAACUCCAUCUAAAGCUAAAUACAAAGAGGAGACUGAUAGCGAACAAGUAGCGUGAGCGAAAGAUGAAAAGGACUUUGAAAAGAGAGUCAAAAGAAUCUGAAACACUAGUAAGGUUAAGCGGUCUUUUUGGGUAUAAUACUAAGUUGAUUUAAAUCAAUGGGGAAUAUGUAACAGAUUUGUUUAGAUAAGUAUUAACUCUCUGAGUUGGUCUUUCUAUCUUAUUUUGCCAAGUAUGACUCAUGCACUUUGGAUCGACUUAAACUAACACGUCCUAUUCUUAGUGUUGGUAUUGGCUUUUCAUGGAAAAGGUAGCUCUUGGGACUUUUAGUUUCAGGAGUGUUACAGUUCUGUGUAAUUACUGUUACCGAUACUGGAUAGAGGGGGAUUAAUAGUCUCUAAAGGAACUAUUUUGGUUUUCACUAUUAGAUUUACUUUGGUUUCUUUCGCUUGGUUUUUUCAAAAUCAAGUUAGGGUUAUCAUUGUUGUCUUUUUGGUGUUUACUUACUAUAAGAUUCUUUAUGGAUGUGUGUUUAACAAUUAAAAUAUUCAAGUGACCGUCCCGUCUUGAAACACGGACCAAGGAGUCUAAUUAAUCUGCAAGUAUUAUGCCAUUUAAAGGCAAAGAUGCGAAAUGAAAGUAAUAUUUAGGGUGGGAUUCUUCUUCUUAGGGAGGAGAUGCACACUCAACCAACCUGGGUAUUCGUUAUCUGGUUUGAGUUAGAGCAGAUUGAUUAGGACCCGAAAGAUAGCGAACUAUGCCUGUAUAGGAUGAAGCCAGAAGAAAUUCUGGUGGAAGUCCGUAGCGGUAUUGACGUGCAAAUCAUUCGUCGAAUAUGGGUAUAGCGGCGAAAGACUAAUCGAGCUAUCUAGUAGCUGGUUCCUUC